CGGCGGACGGGUGAGUAACACGUGAGUAACCUGCCUUAGACAUAGGGAUAGCCUCGGGAAACCGGGAUUAAUACCAAAUGAAAUCACAUAUGCACAUGCAUAAAUGAUCAAAGCUCCGGCGGUCUAAGAUGGACUCGCGUCCCAUUAGCUAGUUGGUGAGGUAACGGCCCACCAAGGCGACGAUGGGUAGCCGGCCUGAGAGGGUGAACGGCCACAUUGGAACUGAGAAACGGUCCAAACUCCUACGGGAGGCAGCAGGC
RNAcentral lists this ribosomal RNA (260 nucleotides) under uncultured Peptoniphilus sp. Its description in RNAcentral is "partial 16S ribosomal RNA". It matches the Rfam family "Bacterial small subunit ribosomal RNA", at positions 96 to 354 of the family's 1533-position model. Lineage: Bacteria; Bacillati; Bacillota; Tissierellia; Tissierellales; Peptoniphilaceae. The record is from RNAcentral.